AUUGAACGCUGGCGGCAUGCCUUACACAUGCAAGUCCAACGGUACAGUAGCAAUACUCGAGAGUGGCGAACGGGUGAGUAAUAUAUCGGAACGUGCCCAGUCGUGGGGGAUAACGUAGAGAAAUUUACGCUAAUACCGCAUACGAUCUAAGGAUGAAAGCGGGGGACUCGCAAGGGCCUCGCGCGAUUGGAGCGGCUGAUAUCAGAUUAGGUUGUUGGUGAGGUAAAAGCUCACCAAGCCGACGAUCUGUAGCUGGUUUGAGAGAACGACCAGCCACACUGGGACUGAGACACGGCCCAGACUCCUACGGGAGGCAGCAGUGGGGAAUUUUGGACAAUGGGCGAAAGCCUGAUCCAGCAAUGCCGCGUGCAGGAAGAAGGCCUUCGGGUUGUAAACUGCUUUUGUACGGAACGAAAAGGCUCUUUCUAAUAAAGGGGGCCCAUGACGGUACCGUAAGAAUAAGCACCGGCUAACUACGUGCCAGCAGCCGCGGUAAUACGUAGGGUGCGAGCGUUAAUCGGAAUUACUGGGCGUAAAGCGUGCGCAGGCGGUUCUAUAAGACAGAUGUGAAAUCCCCGGGCUCAACCUGGGAAUGGCAUUUGUGACUGUAGAGCUAGAGUACGGUAGACGGGGAUGGAAUUUCCGCGUGUAGCCAGUGAAAUUGCGUAGAUAUGCGGGAGGAACACCGAAUGACGAAGGGCCAAUCCCCCUGGAACCUGUUACUGACGCUCAUGCACGGAAAGCCGUGG
Molecule: ribosomal RNA, 749 nt
Filed under: uncultured bacterium
Lineage: Bacteria
Description: bacterial SSU rRNA
Rfam family: Bacterial small subunit ribosomal RNA
Source: RNAcentral